This 241-nucleotide long non-coding RNA is filed under the name Mytilus galloprovincialis (Mediterranean mussel). The record is from RNAcentral. Lineage: Eukaryota; Metazoa; Mollusca; Bivalvia; Mytilida; Mytilidae.
UUAGUUAAGGGCAUACGAUACAGUUACAGGGAAGGUAAUGACGUUGCUAACGUAAAAUGUUAUUUUCUCGACGUCAAACUAUGACAUAUCGGGAAAAGAUGCAUUUUUCGACUGAUUUUUAUCAUUCAAACUGAUUUAAUUUGAAAACGAGUGCAUGGACCCCUAUUUUUUAAAACAGCAAUUUGUUUCAUUUUGCAAGGAGAUUAUGUGACCCAAAUUUUAUAAAACUGUAAAUAGCGCA